UAACCUGCCGUAUACCGGGGGAUAACACUUANAAAUAGGUGCUAAUACCGCAUGAGCGCACAGCUCCGCAUGGGNCGGNGUGNAAAACUCCGGUGGUAUACGAUGGAUCCGCGUCUGAUUAGCCAGUUGGCGGGGUAACGGCCCACCNAAGCGACGAUCAGUANCCGGNCUGAGAGGGUGAACGGCCNCAUUGGGACUGANACNCGGCCCANACUCCUACGGGAGGCNNCNNUGGGGAAUAUUGCACNAUGGGGGAAACCCUGAUGCAGCGACNCCNCGNGAGUGAAGAAGUAUCUCGGUNUGUAAAGCUCUAUCAGCAGGAAAGAUAAUGACGGUACCUGACUAAGAAGCCCCGGCUAACUACGUGCCAGCAGCCGCGGUAAUACGUANGGGGNAAGCGUUAUCCGGAUUUACUGGGUGUNAAGGGAGCGUAGACGGCAGCNCAAGUCUGGAGUGAAAUGCCGGGGCCCAACCCCGGAACUGCUUUGNAAACUGUGCGGCUCGAGUGCGGNAGAGGUAGGCGGAAUUCCUAGUGUANCGGUGAAAUGCNUAGAUAUUANGAGGAACACCAGUGGCGAAGGCGGCUUACUGGACCGUAACUGACGUUGAGGCUCGAAAGCGUGGGGAGCAAACAGGAUUAGAUACCCUGGUANU
Molecule: ribosomal RNA, 654 nt
Filed under: uncultured bacterium
Lineage: Bacteria
Description: partial 16S ribosomal RNA
Rfam family: Bacterial small subunit ribosomal RNA
Source: RNAcentral